CCGGGCGAUCGUCGGCAGCCUUCGGGCUGCGGGAGGAAAGUCCGGACUCCGCAGGGCACCGUAGGAGGUAACGCCUCUCCGCCGUGAGGCGCGGAUUAGAGCAACAGAGACGAGUCGGUCUUCGGAUCGGGUGAAACGGGCAAUCUCUACGGGGAGCAACAUCAAAUAGGCAGCCACACGGACCGGCCCGGUUUCGGCUGCGGGUAGAUGGCUUGAGGCGGCGCGCGAGCGUCGUCCUAGAAGAAUGAUCGCCGUCGUCGGGCUCCCGACGAAACAGAAUCCGGCUUAUAGGGGA
RNAcentral lists this RNase P RNA (295 nucleotides) under uncultured Sutterella sp. Its description in RNAcentral is "Bacterial RNase P class A". It matches the Rfam family "Bacterial RNase P class A". From Rfam's summary of the family: Ribonuclease P (RNase P) is a ubiquitous endoribonuclease, found in archaea, bacteria and eukarya as well as chloroplasts and mitochondria. Its best characterised activity is the generation of mature 5'-ends of tRNAs by cleaving the 5'-leader elements of precursor-tRNAs. The record is from RNAcentral. Lineage: Bacteria; Pseudomonadati; Pseudomonadota; Betaproteobacteria; Burkholderiales; Sutterellaceae.